CCAAAGUUUGAUUCUGUCUUAUGAAAUUUAUUUCAUAAUGAUUGUACAUGUAAAUUUUUGUAUGAUUUCAGAUAUCCUAAAUGGUGGGAUUGAUUACUCGCAGUUUUUUAUUUUAAUAUCUUGGAUAGUUCCAGAAUUAGUUAAUUAUAGAAGUUUUGACCAAAAUUGUGCCAGCAGUCGCGGCUAUACAAUGGAAGCAAAUGAAUUUUUUUGGGUUGUAUUUAAUUUAAUUUGGAAUAUUUAAUUUUUGAAUUUUUAGGUGAAAUUAAGAUUUGAUAUAGAAUAUGUUUUAUGAUUAAAUAUGAAAAUUCAACAUGAAACUAGGAUUAGAUACCCUAUUAUUAUGAAUUGUAAAUUUAAUAACCUUAGUAUUAAUAGUUGUAGUCUUUAAAUUAAAAGAAUUUGGCGGUAAUUUAGUCUUUUCAGAGGAACCUGCCCUGUAAUUGAUAAUCCACGAUGAAUUUCACUUUAUCUUUGUUUGUAUACCUCUGUCAUUGAAUGUUUUAUUAGGAUAAUUUUCUUUAAUUUUUAUUGAAGUUAAUGUCAGGUCAAGGUGCAGCUAUGGUAAAGAAGAGGUGGGUUACAUUAAAUUUAUUUAUGGAGAUAAUUAUGUAAAUGUUAUUGAAAUAGGAUUUGAAAGUAAGUUCCAUUAGAAUAUGGAGUUGAUUUUAGCUCUAAAUUAUGUACACAUCGCCCGUCGCUCUCAUUUAAUUAAGAUGAGAUAAGUCGUAACAAAGUAGGUUUAUCGGAAGAUGUACCUAGAAAGUU
Molecule: non-coding RNA, 768 nt
Filed under: Rhodnius pictipes
Lineage: Eukaryota; Metazoa; Arthropoda; Insecta; Hemiptera; Reduviidae
Source: RNAcentral